RNAcentral lists this long non-coding RNA (515 nucleotides) under Homo sapiens (human). RNAcentral describes it as "non-protein coding lnc-MRPL35-1:4". Lineage: Eukaryota; Metazoa; Chordata; Mammalia; Primates; Hominidae. The record is from RNAcentral.
GUCCCCGACUCCGCGGCUCUUAGAGGGUGGGCUGUGUCCCGGCUGCGGAAACGCCAACUCCAGGCGAUUGGCGCGAAGGAGGCGAAAAGGGCGGAUUCCCUUUCCGGGUCGCGCCCGGGCUGCAGGUCCUUAUCCGGAAGGGGUUACUAGGUGAACACUGCCGGAGGGAGAGCGCUCUGAAAUCCAUUCUUCAGCCGCACGUGGAAAAUGGACAGCUGUGACUCUUAAAGAGAAUUAAAGCAACAAAGCAUCUCAGCCUGCUCUAUGAGCUGGAUAUUUCGUAGGAAGGAGCCGAUUUGGCGAAAGUUACGUAAACAAUGGAAUUGUCUCAGUUUGCGCCUUUGUUUCGUUUGACAGCCCUCCAGGGAGUCAUAGUGAUUGCUGGAGACGGUGAACUAACACUGUGGGGACCCUUGUGCUAAACGUGUCAAGUGGCACAACAAGGAUAGGAACACGGGUCCUUUGGACUCCACAGCUUCUGCUCCUUCCAGAUUAAGCCACACUGCUUUCUCCAA